UUCAGAUAGAUUUGCUGAUAUCGUAUGAUAUCAAUGAAAAUGAAAAUGGUAAACACAGAUUAGUAAUAAAACGUUACCGCUCCGGAUUUGCCAUUAAGGAUUGCGUGGAAUACCAAUAUGAGAACCUUUUCAAUGGUGAUACUGAAAAGGGUCAAGUCGUCAACGAUCUCCUCAAUGAGAACUGGGUGACAAUAACGAACUUGUUCGGAAGAGAUUUUUUCUCUAAGAUAGUUGAUAAAGUUUUCAACGCAAUAAAAACAUUUGGUCAUUCAAAUUAUUUCGAAGAUAUAUUUUUGUAUCGAUAAUUUUUUUUUUUUUUUGAUUGACUUAUGAAUAACAUACUUGUUAAAUUUAAUGCGAUUAUAAUAUUAAAAAAAAAAUUUGUUAGAUGUGAUCAAUAUAUCUGUGUGACCAUGAAUUUCACUGACCAUAAUAUCGCUAUAGCUAUAAGUUUCUUACUUCUUCUUUCAUUUUUCUUUCUUUGUCAACUUUUGUUUCUUAAGUCUGCUUAGCAAUCGAUUAGAUUUACUAGCGAACAAAUUAUAAUAAUGUUAUUCAUCAAAUAAAAUAACAAUUUUUUUAAAUUAAAA
This is a long non-coding RNA of Melitaea cinxia (Glanville fritillary), 590 nucleotides long. RefSeq lists it as uncharacterized. The transcript has 2 exons. Lineage: Eukaryota; Metazoa; Arthropoda; Insecta; Lepidoptera; Nymphalidae. The record is from RefSeq and is a predicted model, not a curated record.